UACGAGAUCAUGCCUAGUCUCGUGGGCUCGGAGAUGUGUAUAAGAGACAGCGCGGAGAUAGCUGGUUCUCCCCGAAAUAGCUUUAGGGCUAGCCUGAGGUAGUAAGUAUAGGCGGUAGAGCACUGAUCGGGCUAGGGGCCGUAAAGGUUACCGAACCCUGUCAAACUCCGAAUGGAUAUACUGUAGAGCCUUGGAGUCAGACUACGAGUGAUAAGAUCCGUGGUCAAAAGGGAAACAGCCCAGACCACCAGCUAAGGUCCCCAAUGUCGUACUAAGUGGAAAAGGAUGUGGGGUUUCAUAAACAACCAGGAUGUUGGCUCAGAAGCAGCCACCAUUUAAAGAGUGCGUAAUAGCUCACUGGUCGAGAGACCCUGCGCCGAAGAUUCCCGGGGCUAAAGUACGAAACCGAAGCUGUGGCUGUAUACGUAAAGUAUACGGGGUAGGGGAGCGUUCCCAUAGGGUAGAAGUCGAACUGGAAGGUUCGGUGGACUUGUGGGAAGUGAGAAUGUUGGUAUGAGUAGCGAAAAGAAAGGUGAGAAUCCUUUCCACCGAAAGCAUAAGGAUUCCUGAGCAACGAUCGUCGUCUCAGGGUAAGUCGGGACCUAAUCCGAGGCAGAGAGCGUAGGAGAUGGACAACUGGUUGAUAUUCCAGUACCGGUAGUAAUUGUUUGAGCAAUGGAGUGACACAGAAGGGCAGGCAAGCAUGCGAAUGGAAGAGCAUGUGUAAGCGUGUAGGGUGGUGCAUAGGCAAAUCCGUGCACUGAAAGCCUGAGGCGUGAUGCGGAGUGAGCAGAGAUGCGAGCGAAGUUGCUGACCCCACACUGUCGAGAAAAGCUUCUAGUGAGAGAGCUACCGCCCGUACCGUAAACCGACACAGGUAUGCGGGGAGAGAAUCCUAAGGUGCGCGGGAGAACCCUCGUUAAGGAACUCGGCAAAAUGUACCCGUAACUUCGGGAUAAGGGUAGCCACUGUUGUGAAGUCCCAUGCGGAUGGAGCAUAGAGUGGUCGCAGAGAAGAGGCCCAAGCGACUGUUUACCAUAAACACAGGUGCCUGCUAAAGCGAAAGCUGACGUAUAGGUGCUGACACCUGCCCAGUGCCGGAAGGUUAAGGAAGGAUGUUCGGAUUAAUCCAAAGCAUUCGACUGAAGCCCCGGUGAACGGCGGCCGUAACUAUAACGGUCCUAAGGUAGCGAAAUUCCUUGUCGGGUAAG
This 1211-nucleotide ribosomal RNA is filed under the name human gut metagenome. RNAcentral describes it as "bacterial LSU rRNA". It matches the Rfam family "Bacterial large subunit ribosomal RNA", at positions 776 to 1980 of the family's 2925-position model. The record is from RNAcentral.